UCCCUGGUGGCUCAGAGGUUAAAGCGUCUGCCUCCAAUGCAGGAGACCCAGGUUUGAUCCCUGGGUCGGGAA
Molecule: transfer RNA, 72 nt
Organism: Ovis aries (sheep)
Lineage: Eukaryota; Metazoa; Chordata; Mammalia; Artiodactyla; Bovidae
Rfam family: tRNA
About the family: Transfer RNA (tRNA) molecules are approximately 80 nucleotides in length. Their secondary structure includes four short double-helical elements and three loops (D, anti-codon, and T loops).
Source: Rfam